CUGACUCUCUUCCUUCAUACUUCUCCUUGUAUGAGGGUGAGCAACAGUAUGCUAGUGAUCACUUAUGGAGGUGAUGGGAUGAAUAUUUAAGUCCUAGAAGGGAGCAAAUCAAGAAUAUUUUUGGUCUGAAGUUUGUGAGAUAACUAUACGAUCUUUGCCCAUUACCCCCUCUAGUGAAGUCACUGGAGACUGAAGAAGUUGCCACAAAAGAGAUUGGCACCCAAAGAAAGUUAAAGCAAAAAACACAAAGCUACAGUCAACCAACUCAAAAAUCUCAAGACUAUUUUGUGUUCAUCCACGUUUAACACUUGAUCAAGAUGCAAGUAACGCGGAGAGAGGCUGAAAUGGACGAAUUGGCUUUAACCAUCCAAGAAAUUGAUGAUCAAAUUCAAUCAAAACGGAUUGAGAAAUCCAGUACACUUGAAACUGUGCAGAAGAGAAAAGCUGAGCUGACCUCUAAGCUAGCAAAUACUGCCAACUCAAUUCCAACCCUUGUUCACGAGAUUCAGCUUCUAUUAUCUCAAAUAUCAAAAUGGGAGCAGGAGAAAGCCAGCAAUGCCAAGCGUGUAGCUGAGAUAGAAGAAAAGUUAAUCACUUUAAGAGGGUUAACAUUUUAAUCAAACAGUUCUAGAGGUUAUUAUCAUUUUGAUAGAAACAUAGCUAGUUGCGGCAGUGAUUUACGUGUUAUCUAUAUUUCUAACCAAUGGGUUUACAUCUAUAUAAUGUGGCUUUUAGACUUGGUGACAAUCCCUGUAGUUGUGGCUCUAGACCUCGUGACAAUCCUUGUAGUUGUGUUAUCAAGUCUUUAAUAUCUCUGAGUCAA
This is a long non-coding RNA of Glycine soja, 823 nucleotides long. RefSeq lists it as uncharacterized. NCBI's taxonomy places the organism in Eukaryota, Viridiplantae, Streptophyta, Magnoliopsida, Fabales, Fabaceae. The transcript is spliced from 2 exons. The record is from RefSeq and is a predicted model, not a curated record.